RNAcentral lists this ribosomal RNA (274 nucleotides) under uncultured bacterium. RNAcentral describes it as "partial 16S ribosomal RNA". It matches the Rfam family "Bacterial small subunit ribosomal RNA", at positions 523 to 796 of the family's 1533-position model. The record is from RNAcentral.
AUACGGAGGGUGCGAGCGUUAAUCGGAAUUACUGGGCGUAAAGGGCGCGUAGGCGGAUUGUCAAGUCAGAGGUGAAAGCCCUGGGCUCAACCCGGGAACUGCCUUUGAAACUAACAGUCUUGAGUCCGAGAGAGGAUGGCGGAAUUCCCAGUGUAGAGGUGAAAUUCGUAGAUAUUGGGAAGAACACCAGUGGCGAAGGCGGCCAUCUGGCUCGGUACUGACGCUGAGGCGCGAAAGCGUGGGGAGCAAACAGGAUUAGAAACCCCAGUAGUCC